GAUGAACGCUGGCGGCGUGCCUCAAACAUGCAAGUCGAGCGAGGCUAUGAAUUACCGCAAGGUAAGGCAUAGCCUAGCGGCGAACGGGUGAGUAACACGUGGGUAACCUACCUGGAAGACAGGGAUAACGAUUCGAAAGGGUCGCUAAUACCUGAUAAUAUCCAUCUGCCGGAUGGCGGAGGGAGGAAAGGGGAAACCCGCUUUCAGAUGGGCCCGCGUCCCAUCAGCUAGUUGGUAAGGUAAAGGCUUACCAAGGCGACGACGAGUAGCCGGUCUGAGAGGGUGUACGGCCACACUGGGACUGAGAUACGGCCCAGACUCCUACGGGAGGCAGCAGUUGGGAAUCUUAGGCAAUGGACGAAAGUCUGACCUAGCGACGCCGCGUGAGGGAAGAAGGCCUUCGGGUUGUAAACCUCUGUCAUGGGGGAAGAAGGAAGUGACGGUACCCCAAGAGGAAGCCCCUGCUAACUACGUG
This 475-nucleotide ribosomal RNA is filed under the name uncultured bacterium. RNAcentral's name for it is "bacterial SSU rRNA". It matches the Rfam family "Bacterial small subunit ribosomal RNA", at positions 28 to 507 of the family's 1533-position model. The record is from RNAcentral.